GCUGGGUGUGGUGGUGCAUGUCUGUAAUCCCAGCUGCUCCGGAGGCUGAGGCAGGAGCAUUGCAAGUUAGAGAUUGGGCUCAGCAACUUAGAAAUACCCUGUAUCAA
This 107-nucleotide small RNA is filed under the name Marmota monax (woodchuck). The record is from RNAcentral. Lineage: Eukaryota; Metazoa; Chordata; Mammalia; Rodentia; Sciuridae.